GAAGGAUUGUUUUGAGAUCAGUAAACGGCUAUGUGAGUAGAAAAUCAUUAAGAGGCAAAAUAUUUUCUCUGUCAUAGGAUCAGAUCAUCUCCCCCAACCUCCAUCCCUGACCUUUAUGUAGAGAGGCUGAUAAGUAGGACCUCACAAAAGCCCAAGGCUUAACAUCAGCCCAGAGAGCCAGAGGUGCUGAUCUAGCAAACCUUACAAAGACCUGUGCUUUGACAAGAGCCAGUAGCCUCACAGAGGCCUGACUUUGACUUUACCCCAGCAAAGUAGUGGUUCUGUGCCAGAGACCUGAGGCCUGUGUCCAGACUCAUGCUAGGAAGAUGGAGGUACCGAGCUAGUAUCCUGACAAAGUCCCGCUUGGCUUCAGCCAGGAGCCUGGAAGUGCUGUAGCCGGAACUCUGUGUCAGUGCUUUCACCAUUACCAACCUAGCAUGUCAUAUGUGAUGAGCCAGUGACCUCAUAGAAGCCCAUUCUUUGAUAUCAAUCCAGUAUGCUACAUUUGAGGAACAAGUGACCUCAUAGAGGACAUAAACCCAGAAACCUAGAGGUGCUGAAACAUUAACCACAUAAAGGCCUGUUGCCUUGGCGCCAGCCAUCAUUCUAGAAUGUGUUGAGAUUUGACUUUAUCCCAGCAAGCUAAAGGUCCUGAGCUGGUAACCCUCCAAGGCCUGUGCAUUUACAUUAACCCAGCACGCUAUAAUUGGUGAGCGAGUGACAUCACAGAGGCCUUUGCACUGAAUUCAGCCCGUGGUGAUCAGAUCAGCAUGGGAAAAAGAAUGAGCUAGUGAACUCUUCUGGAGCGAUACAAGAGGGAUUUAAGAAGAGCUGAGGAGCUGGCCUUCUGCAGAUAUUACAUGUUAAUAUAGCCUGGAACACACAAGGACAUUCCAGAAGCAUUCUGAUGCUGUACCAUUAUUCACAAAAGACAAGCUCUGUAAACUGGAUACAGAAGAAAAAGCAGGUGACACCCAUGAGCAGCUCUCUCAUUGAGACUCUUUGAUUCAGGUUGUUAAAUCUGAGAGGAGCCAAAAGCAUUAGGGAAUGUCUGUGGGUGUGCCAAGAAAGACCCACUCACCCACCCAGUCAGCACAGUAAACUGUUACACUACAAUGUCAUUCAGAAUGGCAACACCCAUCAUGACACCCAACCAUCAGAAAUGAGAAGUUGCCCUUCCUAAUUUGAUCUACUUUGAUUACUACCCAUGUGUUCAUUUAUGAACUCCAGGAGAUGGCACUAAUUCAGUCCUAAUUGUGUUUUCUUGACUUUGAACCUUUAUGUACCUAAAAAGGUUGUUUUUAAGAUCAUGUGAAAUGUUUUGGAUCUAGUGCCCUUUUUUUUUUUUUUUGUAAAGUGAGAAAAAGUAGCUUAUGGCCCCAAAAAGUUUUACCUUUGUUUCCUGAGGACAAUUGAAACAGCAUGUGAAUUACAAGUUAAAAGAGAUGGCUGAUUUAUACUAUGUGUAUCUUUUUCCCUGCAGCAAAUGAAUAACUUCAAUAUUGUUAUCAAAUGCACACUGUAGUAUUUUGGGGUGAUAAAAUAAUUAAGUGUU
Molecule: long non-coding RNA, 1555 nt
Organism: Mauremys reevesii (Reeves's turtle)
Lineage: Eukaryota; Metazoa; Chordata; Testudines; Geoemydidae
Exons: 3
Source: RefSeq, a predicted model, not a curated record